GGCCAGAUGGCCGAGGGGUCUAAGGCGGUGGUUUAAGGCACCAGUCUCUGCGGAGGCGUGGGUUCGAAUACCACUAUCGUCA
Toxocara canis (dog roundworm) is the source of this 82-nucleotide non-coding RNA. The record is from Rfam. Lineage: Eukaryota; Metazoa; Nematoda; Chromadorea; Rhabditida; Toxocaridae.